Molecule: ribosomal RNA, 253 nt
Filed under: uncultured bacterium
Lineage: Bacteria
Description: partial 16S ribosomal RNA
Rfam family: Bacterial small subunit ribosomal RNA
Source: RNAcentral
UACGGAGGGGGCUAGCGUUGUUCGGAAUUACUGGGCGUAAAGCGCACGUAGGCGGACUGUUAAGUCGGGGGUGAAAUCCUGGGGCUCAACCCCAGAAUUGCCUCCGAUACUGGCAGUCUCGAGUGCGGGAGAGGUGAGUGGAAUUCCCAGUGUAGAGGUGAAAUUCGUAGGUAUUGGGAAGAACACCAGUGGCGAAGGCGGCUCACUGGCCCGUAACUGACGCUGAGGUGCGAAAGCGUGGGGAGCAAACAGG